GGUUAAGCGACUAAGCGUACACGGUGGAUGCCCUGGCAGUCAGAGGCGAUGAAGGACGUGCUAAUCUGCGAUAAGCGUCGGUGAGGUGAUAUGAACCGUUAUAACCGGCGAUUUCCGAAUGGGGAAACCCAGUGUGUUUCGACACACUAUCAUUAACUGAAUCCAUAGGUUAAUGAGGCGAACCGGGGGAACUGAAACAUCUAAGUACCCCGAGGAAAAGAAAUCAACCGAGAUUCCCCCAGUAGCGGCGAGCGAACGGGGAGGAGCCCAGAGCCUGAAUCAGUGUGUGUGUUAGUGGAAGCGUCUGGAAAGGCGUGCGAUACAGGGUGACAGCCCCGUACACAAAAAUGCACAUAUUGUGAGCUCGAUGAGUAGGGCGGGACACGUGGUAUCCUGUCUGAAUAUGGGGGGACCAUCCUCCAAGGCUAAAUACUCCUGACUGACCGAUAGUGAACCAGUACCGUGAGGGAAAGGCGAAAAGAACCCCGGCGAGGGGAGUGAAAAAGAACCUGAAACCGUGUACGUACAAGCAGUGGGAGCCUCUUAAUGGGGUGACUGCGUACCUUUUGUAUAAUGGGUCAGCGACUUAUAUUCUGUAGCAAGGUUAACCGAAUAGGGGAGCCGAAGGGAAACCGAGUCUUAACUGGGCGUUAAGUUGCAGGGUAUAGACCCGAAACCCGGUGAUCUAGCCAUGGGCAGGUUGAAGGUUGGGUAACACUAACUGGAGGACCGAACCGACUAAUGUUGAAAAAUUAGCGGAUGACUUGUGGCUGGGGGUGAAAGGCCAAUCAAACCGGGAGAUAGCUGGUUCUCCCCGAAAGCUAUUUAGGUAGCGCCUCGUGAAUUCAUCUCCGGGGGUAGAGCACUGUUUCGGCAAGGGGGUCAUCCCGACUUACCAACCCGAUGCAAACUGCGAAUACCGGAGAAUGUUAUCACGGGAGACACACGGCGGGUGCUAACGUCCGUCGUGAAGAGGGAAACAACCCAGACCGCCAGCUAAGGUCCCAAAGUCAUGGUUAAGUGGGAAACGAUGUGGGAAGGCCCAGACAGCCAGGAUGUUGGCUUAGAAGCAGCCAUCAUUUAAAGAAAGCGUAAUAGCUCACUGGUCGAGUCGGCCUGCGCGGAAGAUGUAACGGGGCUAAACCAUGCACCGAAGCUGCGGCAGCGACACUAUGUGUUGUUGGGUAGGGGAGCGUUCUGUAAGCCUGUGAAGGUGGCCUGUGAGGGUUGCUGGAGGUAUCAGAAGUGCGAAUGCUGACAUAAGUAACGAUAAAGCGGGUGAAAAGCCCGCUCGCCGGAAGACCAAGGGUUCCUGUCCAACGUUAAUCGGGGCAGGGUGAGUCGACCCCUAAGGCGAGGCCGAAAGGCGUAGUCGAUGGGAAACAGGUUAAUAUUCCUGUACUUGGUGUUACUGCGAAGGGGGGACGGAGAAGGCUAUGUUGGCCGGGCGACGGUUGUCCCGGUUUAAGCGUGUAGGCUGGUUUUCCAGGCAAAUCCGGAAAACCAAGGCUGAGGCGUGAUGACGAGGCACUACGGUGCUGAAGUGACAAAUGCCCUGCUUCCAGGAAAAGCCUCUAAGCAUCAGGUAACAUCAAAUCGUACCCCAAACCGACACAGGUGGUCAGGUAGAGAAUACCAAGGCGCUUGAGAGAACUCGGGUGAAGGAACUAGGCAAAAUGGUGCCGUAACUUCGGGAGAAGGCACGCUGAUAUGUAGGUGAAGCGACUUGCUCGUGGAGCUGAAAUCAGUCGAAGAUACCAGCUGGCUGCAACUGUUUAUUAAAAACACAGCACUGUGCAAACACGAAAGUGGACGUAUACGGUGUGACGCCUGCCCGGUGCCGGAAGGUUAAUUGAUGGGGUUAGCGGUAACGCGAAGCUCUUGAUCGAAGCCCCGGUAAACGGCGGCCGUAACUAUAACGGUCCUAAGGUAGCGAAAUUCCUUGUCGGGUAAGUUCCGACCUGCACGAAUGGCGUAAUGAUGGCCAGGCUGUCUCCACCCGAGACUCAGUGAAAUUGAACUCGCUGUGAAGAUGCAGUGUACCCGCGGCAAGACGGAAAGACCCCGUGAACCUUUACUAUAGCUUGACACUGAACAUUGAGCCUUGAUGUGUAGGAUAGGUGGGAGGCUUUGAAGUGUGGACGCCAGUCUGCAUGGAGCCGACCUUGAAAUACCACCCUUUAAUGUUUGAUGUUCUAACGUUGGCCCGUAAUCCGGGUUGCGGACAGUGUCUGGUGGGUAGUUUGACUGGGGCGGUCUCCUCCUAAAGAGUAACGGAGGAGCACGAAGGUUGGCUAAUCCUGGUCGGACAUCAGGAGGUUAGUGCAAUGGCAUAAGCCAGCUUGACUGCGAGCGUGACGGCGCGAGCAGGUGCGAAAGCAGGUCAUAGUGAUCCGGUGGUUCUGAAUGGAAGGGCCAUCGCUCAACGGAUAAAAGGUACUCCGGGGAUAACAGGCUGAUACCGCCCAAGAGUUCAUAUCGACGGCGGUGUUUGGCACCUCGAUGUCGGCUCAUCACAUCCUGGGGCUGAAGUAGGUCCCAAGGGUAUGGCUGUUCGCCAUUUAAAGUGGUACGCGAGCUGGGUUUAGAACGUCGUGAGACAGUUCGGUCCCUAUCUGCCGUGGGCGCUGGAGAACUGAGGGGGGCUGCUCCUAGUACGAGAGGACCGGAGUGGACGCAUCACUGGUGUUCGGGUUGUCAUGCCAAUGGCACUGCCCGGUAGCUAAAUGCGGAAGAGAUAAGUGCUGAAAGCAUCUAAGCACGAAACUUGCCCCGAGAUGAGUUCUCCCUGACUCCUUGAGAGUCCUGAAGGAACGUUGAAGACGACGACGUUGAUAGGCCGGGUGUGUAAGCGCAGCGAUGCGUUGAGCUAACCGGUACUAAUGAACCGUGAGGCUUAACCUU
Molecule: ribosomal RNA, 2904 nt
Filed under: Escherichia coli
Lineage: Bacteria; Pseudomonadati; Pseudomonadota; Gammaproteobacteria; Enterobacterales; Enterobacteriaceae
Also listed under: 5 other names
Description: 23S ribosomal RNA
Rfam family: Bacterial large subunit ribosomal RNA
Source: RNAcentral